CGUCCUCUCGCCCCCCUCUCUCAGACGCACCCACAGCCGCCGCCCUCUCCCUCCCUCAGAUCUCGAUCCGCCGCCGCCCCCAAACCCGUAGACGUGGUGCUGUGUUGCCGAGGCCAGGCCGACCUGAGCGCCCUAAUCCUAGCGACCGCCGUCGCCUCCUGGAUCCUAUUCCACGUCGCCUCCGGAUACACGGCCGUGUCGCUAGCCGCCGACGUGCUCCUCGCCGGCAUCGACUCCGCCUUCCGUCGUGUCGCGCAGGGCCAGCUCGGCUCCGGGCGCGUCUUCGCCUGUCUCGCUGCCGCCGCCCUGCUCGCCAGGCUCGCGCGCGACCUCCCCACAUGGUGCUACGCAGGCACAGUGCUCCCUCCCUCCAUUCUCUUUGCUCUGUUGUCCUGUCUGAAUAAUAUUGCGCCUUUCUUCAGAAUUCAAUGACAUGUUUGAGUUGGAAUGUUGGAUCACUUCACCUCCUCUGAUGGACUGAUUGUUUUUGUGGUCGCACUCCAAUCCUGCUGUUGUGGUGGGCGCCGAAAACCCUAGCUGCCGGGGCGCGGCCAUGGCGACCGACCGCAGGCGCAGGACUCGGACUCGUACAACGGUGGUAUGGUAGGCAUCAUGGAGCGGAGCUUGCUCUAUCCGGGACGCCAUGGAUUUUGUUGCGCGUGAAGCUCUUUCUUCCUCCAGCACAAGAACGUACAAGCAGCAUCCAAGGACGGACCCGGCGGAAAACCCAUGGUGCCAUCUGCCGGACAAAUCAGCGUGCUAAUCUGUCGAGCUUUCCUUCUGAUUUCACGAUAUCAACAGGACCUCCUAGUGGGUACCGUGGCCGACCGCAACCACGACUAGGGUACGGAAACGUGGACAUCUCCCCGACUUGUCAAAGCUUGACAGCGGCCUUCCCAGAUCCCCAGGCCAUAUCAAGUCAUCGCUACCCGUUAUUCUUCCCUCCUGUAAUUUUGUUGAUAGCCUAUAGUUUAGUGUUGUGCACCCCUAGCAUGAAAUUAUAUGCUCUGGCAUUUGUGAUUCUGUGAACAACCAGUGAUGCUGCUGCUGCACACCAUAAAUGUUGUGAUUCUAUGCACAACCAAUGAUUUUGUGCACUAUAAAAUUUAGUUCACUUUCUUAAUGUGAUGCUGCUGUUGUACACCAUAAAUUACUGAACAUUUGUUAACACUCCAAAAAUGCAGUAUUUUCUACUAGCCUAUUAAUGUUAUCAGUAUUUGCUGCUGGAGUAUUUAAAAUUAACUGAAACUAUUCCUUUAAUGCUUGCAUAAACUUUUUUAAAGAUGAAUUGGAGUACUCCUUUAAUGAAGGUUUUGUGUAGUCUAUUGCUUGCAUCAGUACUUUUAAAAAUAAAUGAAUCUUUUCAUUUAAGUGUACUCUGGACAGCAGUAGUAUAGCACUUGCUGCUGCUGUUAAGCUUGCAUUAGUACUGGUUGCAGUAGUUUAGUGUAGGACAACAGUAGUAUGGGACGUGCUGCUGCUGUUAAGUUUCUCUUUCUCUUCUCUCUUCUCUUCUCUUUGUCUGCUGGAGUAAACUUUUCCAAUAUACUCCUAGGAGUAAACUUUCUCUGCUGGAGUAGGAAUUGCUCUAAGGAGUAGCAGUAGUGAUUUGUUUAACAGCAGCAACAACAGCAGUGCAUAUCAAUUUAUCAUGCUGACAACAGUAGUGCACAACCAAUUUGGAACUGAUGCAUAUCAAUACAGUAGUGCACAAAGUUCAUCAAACAUCAUGCAAGUUCGAUGCACAAUGUUAGAUGUCUACUGGUUGCUGUAUAUGGGCAAGAUGAAUUGAAUCAUGUUGUUUUCUUUUUGAUGGACACACAUGCAGAUGAUUGACACUCAUGAACAGCAAGCAACUGUACUAGUUACUACCUAGGUGUUCCAGAGAUUGUUGUAUUAUAUAUCUUCCUUUUACUACCAAAAUUAUUGUGCGCUCAUACUGUCAUCGCAUUGCCUGUUUUUCUUGCUGCAUACAUGUAUCUCAAGCAUUGUACUUCUGUGUUUGCUUAGGCGGAUAACUACUAAGUGAUUACAAUUAACAUGUACUUGUGAAUUCUAAGCUUACAUUGCUGUCUUGCGAUCAUGUUCUAAUUAAUGUGUAUAGUCCAAGCACUUGAACUGUCUAAAUGCAUGCACACAAGUUUAGUUAUCUUUUGAAAAAUUGUUGGUGCAUUUUGUGAUGUUAGUGUAUGUGCUUUGACUAGUAAUGUUAGAUCUUGCCUAUUGAAUGGAUGGCCGUGGUAGUAGAAUGACAUUGUUGUUUUAGGUGCAGUGUGUUGCGGUGAGGUUACAGGACCUGCACUUCAUGCAUAUUCAUAGUCUCUGUUUUCUUAUAUGAAUAAAAAAGCAUGGUACUAGCUGGAUUUGUGUUAUCAUUCUAUAAACAGAACUGUCAUUUUUUGAAUGGAAUAUUUAUAAUAUAUUGGCUCCAUUUGUUCUGAUUCUUCUCAGCUUAUUCAUGUAACAAGGGGCGUGUUGCUGUUCUGUUAGCCCAGUCCUGAAUAUGGUUGUCUAGUGAAUUCGGCAUAUGAUCGCUAUCGAAGGAGCUCCAUGCUGAAGAAGAAAACACUUGUAGAGCUUAUGAAGUAUCUAGUUGUUACCUCAUAGAGCUUGUAAUUGUGAUUGCUAUACCUGUAGAGCUUGUAUCGUUAUUCCACUUGUAGAGCUUGUAAAGUUUGUGUUAGAGCUUGUAUUACGUGUUAUUCGGAGAGCAGGAGCUGCAUGAAUCUGGAUGAUCUAAUGUGAGGUAUUACAUGUGUUUUUUGUCAGUGCAAUUUGAA
Molecule: long non-coding RNA, 2780 nt
Organism: Triticum urartu
Lineage: Eukaryota; Viridiplantae; Streptophyta; Magnoliopsida; Poales; Poaceae
Source: RefSeq, a predicted model, not a curated record